Molecule: ribosomal RNA, 164 nt
Filed under: uncultured bacterium
Lineage: Bacteria
Description: partial 16S ribosomal RNA
Rfam family: Bacterial small subunit ribosomal RNA
Source: RNAcentral
UAGGGAAUCUUCCACAAUGGACGCAAGUCUGAUGGAGCAACGCCGCGUGAGUGAAGAAGGGUUUCGGCUCGUAAGGCUCUGUUGUUAAAGAAGAACGUGGGUAAGAGUAACUGUUUACCCAGUGACGGUAUUUAACCAGAAAGCCACGGCUAACUACGUGCCAG